AAGCAAACUUCGUUUGACCAAGACUUUUCCCAAACUAGAAUGAACCUGUGAGGAUGCAAACAAAUAGGGUAUCCCAACUACAAUCAAAACACCCCGAAAACAAUAAUAAUAAGAACACCAAAUUUUAGCGUGGAAAACCUCUCAAGAAAGGAGAGUAAAAACCACGGGACUACUAGAGCCGCUUCAAAUCCACUAUCACCAAAUUAGAGCAAUACAAAGUCUUCCCUAGGUCUACUAGAGGCAUACAAUAAUCAUCAUACACUUGGAAUCAACAACAUCAAGCAUAUGGAAUCAAAUACAAAGACAAAAGAAGGAAAUGUCACCAAAUUCUGCAGCAGCAAACAGAGGCUGUGCAGACGAACUUCCAAAGCUUAUUUGGACAAACCCACCGUUGGAUAAGGUCUCCCUGAUGUCCGAAUGACUGUGCCAAAAAUUCAGAGCGAUCCAACGGUUCAAU
RNAcentral lists this long non-coding RNA (457 nucleotides) under Helianthus annuus (common sunflower). The record is from RNAcentral. Lineage: Eukaryota; Viridiplantae; Streptophyta; Magnoliopsida; Asterales; Asteraceae.